GUUGGGUUAAGUCCCGCAACGAGCGCAGCCCUUGUCAUUAGUUGCCAUCAUUUGGUUGGGCACUCUAAUGAGACUGCCGGGUGACAAACCGGAGGAAAGGUGGGGAUGACGUCAAGUCCUCAUGGCCCUUAUGGGUAGGGCUUCACACGUCAUACAAUGGUCGGUACAGAGGGUUGCCAACCCGCGAGGGGGAGCUAAUCCCACAAAGCCGAUCGUAGUCCGGAUCGCAGUCUGCAACUCGACUGCGUGAAGUCGGAAUCGCUAGUAAUCGUGGAUCAGCAUGUCACGGUGAAUACGUUCCCGGGUCUU
RNAcentral lists this ribosomal RNA (309 nucleotides) under uncultured Rhodocyclaceae bacterium. Its description in RNAcentral is "bacterial SSU rRNA". It matches the Rfam family "Bacterial small subunit ribosomal RNA", at positions 1074 to 1382 of the family's 1533-position model. The record is from RNAcentral. Lineage: Bacteria; Pseudomonadati; Pseudomonadota; Betaproteobacteria; Rhodocyclales; Rhodocyclaceae.